AGGCUUAACACAUGCAAGUCGAGGGGCAGCAUGUCUUAGCUUGCUAAGGCCGAUGGCGACCGGCGCACGGGUGAGUAACGCGUAUCCAACCUGCCUUACACUCUUGGACAGCCUUCUGAAAGGGAGAUUAAUACAAGAUGUUAUCAUGAGUAAGCAUUUUCGCAUGAUUAAAGGUUUACCGGUGUAAGAUGGGGAUGCGUUCCAUUAGAUAGUAGGCGGGGUAACGGCCCACCUAGUCUUCGAUGGAUAGGGGUUCUGAGAGGAAGGUCCCCCACAUUGGAACUGAGACACGGUCCAAACUCCUACGGGAGGCAGCAGUGAGGAAUAUUGGUCAAUGGACGAGAGUCUGAACCAGCCAAGUAGCGUGAAGGAUGAAGGUUCUAUGGAUUGUAAACUUCUUUUAUAAAGGAAUAAAGUCGGGUAUGGAUACCCGUUUGCAUGUACUUUAUGAAUAAGGAUCGGCUAACUCCGUGCCAGCAGCCGCGGUAAUACGGAGGAUCCGAGCGUUAUCCGGAUUUAUUGGGUUUAAAGGGAGCGUAGAUGGAUGUUUAAGUCAGUUGUGAAAGUUUGCGGCUCAACCGUAAAAUUGCAGUUGAUACUGGAUAUCUUGAGUGCAGUUGAGGCAGGCGGAAUUCGUGGUGUAGCGGUGAAUGCUUAGAUAUCACGAAGAACUCCGAUUGCGAAGGCAG
RNAcentral lists this ribosomal RNA (689 nucleotides) under uncultured Bacteroidales bacterium. Its description in RNAcentral is "bacterial SSU rRNA". It matches the Rfam family "Bacterial small subunit ribosomal RNA", at positions 44 to 724 of the family's 1533-position model. Lineage: Bacteria; Pseudomonadati; Bacteroidota; Bacteroidia; Bacteroidales. The record is from RNAcentral.